RNAcentral lists this ribosomal RNA (465 nucleotides) under uncultured bacterium. Its description in RNAcentral is "partial 16S ribosomal RNA". It matches the Rfam family "Bacterial small subunit ribosomal RNA", at positions 339 to 795 of the family's 1533-position model. The record is from RNAcentral.
CUACGGGUCGCUGCAGUGAGGAAUAUUGCGCAAUGGGGGAAACCCUGACGCAGCGACGCCGCGUGGAUGAUGAAGGCCUUAGGGUCGUAAAAUCCAGUCAGGUGGGAAGAAGUGGAUAUAGAUUAAUACUCUAUUUCUUUGACGGUACCACCAAAGGAAGCACCGGCUAACUCCGUGCCAGCAGCCGCGGUAAUACGGAGGGUGCAAACGUUGUUCGGAAUUACUGGGCGUAAAGCGCGCGUAGGCGGUUUGUUAAGUCAGAGGUGAAAGUCCAUGGCUCAACUAUGGAAGUGCAUUUGAAACUGGCAGACUUGAGUACUGGAGGGGGUGAGGGAAUUCCCGGUGUAGAGGUGAAAUUCGUAGAUAUCGGGAGGAAUACCGGUGGCGAAGGCGAUCACCGGGCCAGAUACUGACACUGAGGUGCGAAAGCGUGGGGAGCAAACAGGAUUAGAUACCCCCGUAGUC